Molecule: transfer RNA, 723 nt
Filed under: Synechococcus sp. KORDI-71
Lineage: Bacteria; Bacillati; Cyanobacteriota; Cyanophyceae; Synechococcales; Synechococcaceae
Description: 16S-23S ribosomal RNA intergenic spacer
Rfam family: tRNA (bases 267-339)
Source: RNAcentral
CAGGGAGACAAACAACGAUUUUGAUGCCUGAGUGCUUUUAUUCUUAGGCCGAAAUCCUGUCACCUUAGGUCGAUCGGUACCUCAGCUUUGAAGUCAAGAAUUUGCAGCGAUGCAAGUUGCUUGAUGGAGAUUCUUAGUUCCUAAACUUUGUCUAGGUCACACCCCAAAAGGGAUGAGACUCCUGGGCCAUUAGCUCAGGUGGUUAGAGCGCACCCCUGAUAAGGGUGAGGUCCCUGGUUCAAGUCCAGGAUGGCCCAUUCGGUGUUGGGGGUUUAGCUCAGUUGGUAGAGCGCCUGCUUUGCAAGCAGGAUGUCAGGAGUUCGAGUCUCCUAACCUCCACUGACCGAACUUUGUCCCCAGCUUCAUUUGAUGGAGUUGAGCUCGAUUGGAGUGUGAUUUAGAUGUGUCCGCUGGAAGACCCCAGCUUCCUGUCAUUCUAAGGAUUGAUUAAAUCAAUUUUUAGUUGAUAAGAUGCUGGGCUCGAACUGAGCAAUCAGUUUGGAGUUCUAGCAGAACCUUGACAACUGCAUAGGUGAGUCUGGAAAGAAUAAAGCAUCUCAUGGAUGCAUCAUUCUUUUUUGGAUGAUGUUUGAUUCUUGAGCAAGAGCCGAGACUCCACCACGUUCUUCUGAUUGUGUCGAGCAAUUGGGAGUUUGAUCUUUGAUUCAGCAAUGAAUCAGAGAGAAUCCGUUUCAACGACGGCAAGCGUGAUGGGGAUUAAUU